Molecule: unclassified non-coding RNA, 685 nt
Filed under: Micranthes brachypetala
Lineage: Eukaryota; Viridiplantae; Streptophyta; Magnoliopsida; Saxifragales; Saxifragaceae
Description: sequence contains ITS1, 5.8S rRNA gene, ITS2
Rfam family: 5.8S ribosomal RNA (bases 307-462)
Source: RNAcentral
ACAAGGUUUCCGUAGGUGAACCUGCGGAAGGAUCAUUGUCGAAACCUGCAUAGCAGAAAACCAAGUGAACUUGUAGCAAAACUUUGAGGGAAGCAUCACAUGCUUCUCCUCCAUGUUGUCGGGAUGUGCUUGAUAUUAUCUACCACCAUGCUUUAUGCUUGGGGAAGAAUGUUGAGUACCCCCGACUUCAAAACUCACCCCGGCGUGAAUUACGCCAAGGACUUUUUAAAAGGAUUGAACAUUCCUUCACAUUACUGUAUUCAUGCAGGUAAUUGGAGGAGGUGUCAUCUUCUUGAUGUCUUUAAUGACUCUCGGCAACGGAUAUCUCGGCUCUCACAACGAUGAAGAACGUAGCGAAAUGCGAUACUUGGUGUGAAUUGCAGAAUCCCGUGAACCAUCGAGUUUUUGAACGCAAGUUGCGCCCGAAGCCAUCUGGUUGAGGGCACGUCUGCCUGGGCGUCACGUACCCACUCCUCUCACAACCUAUAUCCCAUGGGUCUUAAGGCUUUGUGUUGAGGAAAGGUUGGCCUCCCAUGCACUCUGUGUGUGGUUGACCUAAAAUAGAGUACCGAGUGAUAAAACGUCACGAUAAGUGGUGGUAUACAAAGCCUAAUCGAGUCGAGCGUUUAUCACAAAUGUGCUCCCAAAACCCAAACACGUUGAUUUGGCGCUAUUUUGCGACCCC